RNAcentral lists this ribosomal RNA (244 nucleotides) under uncultured prokaryote. RNAcentral describes it as "partial 16S ribosomal RNA". It matches the Rfam family "Bacterial small subunit ribosomal RNA", at positions 524 to 767 of the family's 1533-position model. The record is from RNAcentral.
AACAGAGGUCCCGAGCGUUGUUCGGAUUCAUUGGGCGUAAAGGGUGCGUAGGUGGCGCCGUAAGUCGGGUGUGAAAUUUCGGAGCUUAACUCCGAAACUGCAUUCGAUACUGCGGUGCUUGAGGACUGGAGAGGAGACUGGAAUUCAUGGUGUAGCAGUGAAAUGCGUAGAUAUCAGGAGGAACACCGAUGGCGAAGGCAGGUCUCUGGGCUGACACUGACGCUCAUGCACGAAAGCGCGGGGA